CCUACGGGUGGCAGCAGUGAGGAAUAUUGGUCAAUGGGCGUGAGCCUGAACCAGCCAAGUCGCGUGAGGGAUGACUGCCCUAUGGGUUGUAAACCUCUUUUGCCGGGGAGCAAUGUGCCGCACGUGUGCGGUUUGGAGAGUUCCCGGAGAAACAGCAUUGGCUAACUCCGUGCCCGCAGCCGCCGUAAUUCGGAGGAUUCGAGCGUUAUCCGGAUUUAUUGGGUUUAAAGGGUGCGUAGGCGGACGGUUAAGUCAGCGGUAAAAUUGCGGGGCUCAACCUCGUCGCGCCGUUGAAACUGGGUGCCUUGAGUGGGCGAGAAGUACGCGGAAUGCGUGGUGUAGCGGUGAAAUGCAUAGAUAUCACGCAGAACUCCGAUUGCGAAGGCAGCGUACCGGCGCCCAACUGACGCUGAAGCACGAAGGCGUGGGUAUCGAACAGGAUUAGAUACCCUAGUAGUC
Molecule: ribosomal RNA, 459 nt
Filed under: uncultured bacterium
Lineage: Bacteria
Description: partial 16S ribosomal RNA
Rfam family: Bacterial small subunit ribosomal RNA
Source: RNAcentral